RNAcentral lists this long non-coding RNA (914 nucleotides) under Androctonus crassicauda. The record is from RNAcentral. Lineage: Eukaryota; Metazoa; Arthropoda; Arachnida; Scorpiones; Buthidae.
AACCCCACUUUCCGGACCGGUCCUCGAAGCCUGGUUCCGGGCCGGUGUCUUUUUUUUUUUUUUUUUUCCUUCUUUUUUCCUAUCCCCCCUCGUAGCGUGUGGUUAUGCACUUCUUGUUGUGUAUCUUGUCUGCAUUAGGGUAUUGUAAGCACGGUGAAAUAGGCAAAUUUUCUGUUACGUUAAACCGUAUCCUUUACAAUUUUCUGUCCUUUAAAACAACGUUUACAGACAAACACGUUGACGUAUGCCAGUAUCUAAACACAUUUUUCCUUUCAGAAAAAUGUUUUAGUAUCUCGAUUUUGAAAUUACGAGAAUAUUAGAACUGUUUGUUCAGAUAACGAAAAGUUCGAUAAGAAGUAUGAGUAAUAAUAAUGAUCAUUCGCCAGGUGAAAGACUAAACAACAGAAAUACGCUCCUCUAAAAAGACGUGUGUAGUUUGUGUGUUUAAAAGAAUAUCGAUCGCGUCAUACCACCCACAAACACUAAAUACCGCAUUCUUUAACACUGACUCAUGUACUAGAUCAGAAAUUCUCCGAAGAAAGCUUGAUUGACAAUACAGGUCAGGUACACCUUGAGGUACACUAGUCUCAUCCUGCCAUCUGGUGCCGGUUAUGGUAACAGGUAUAUGACUUUUCUUCUGUACAUCACGACGUUUUCUCAAAAACUGCUGGACAAAAUAUAAAGUUUAAUUAGUUGAUAAAGAUUAUAAAAUUUAAUUUUGGAUAAUUUAAUUAUCAUAUGAGAAAAGAGAAUUUCGAAAUUAGGUCAGAUUAAUAUAUAAAACUGGGAAUUUUUUCUAGGCAUUCCCUACUACUAAAUCCGUUUUUUAGUCACUAAAUAUAUAGAACAGAGUAGGGGGUUUUUUUGUUUUUUUUUUUUCCUUACGAAAUUUAUCCACGCAUUCGUAUAGAGUA